AAACGAAAGUAUGACACAGAGAGGACACAUUUAAUUGAGCCCGUCAAAUUAAGUGCCAGCCGACGCGGUUAAACUUAAGGGCUGGUCUUUAUAAGUAAAAAGGCGUAAAGGAUGUGUAGGCCAAGAAACGAUCCAAGUAGGUAAAUGGAAUUUUUCUGGAGCGGUAGAAUGUGAGGAUAGAAAAUAGAACCCCUAAGGUAAAAACUAUUUACUACAAGGUAGGCUGAAACAUGAGAGUGUGGGGAGCAAACAGGAUUAGAGACCCUGGUAGUCCACACUGUGAACUUUGAAGAUGAUGCUUAGCAGACCCGAAAGGUAAAAUCUUCCGCCUGAGUAGUACGAUCGCAAGAUUAAAAUUCAAAAACUUUGGCUGUUCACUAUUUCGAUUAGAGGAGCGUGUAGUUUAAUUCGAUGGUCCGCGUGUUACCUUACCCCAACUUGAAUCUGUGACCGGUAUUGCAUGGCCGUCGUAAGUUCGUGUAUUAAGCUAGAAGGGACCCAACCCGGGCACUUGCCCGGAGGAAGUCAGGUCUUAUGAUCCGAAUGUUGGGGGAUUUUAUGCGCUACAUUUUCUUAUAUAAUGAGAAACCUGGAAGGUGAAUCUCUAAAGUAAGAGUUCGGAAGGUCGCUGUAAGACGACUGGAAGUUGGAUUUAAUAGUAAUCGGAAAGUAGGGCGUUCCGGUGAAUUGGUACAAGUGUUAGCACAAAUUGCCCGUCACCUUUACUUAGAAUGGUUAUUCGGA
This 744-nucleotide ribosomal RNA is filed under the name Heteranthus verruculatus. RNAcentral describes it as "partial small subunit ribosomal RNA". It matches the Rfam family "Bacterial small subunit ribosomal RNA", at positions 456 to 1424 of the family's 1533-position model. The record is from RNAcentral. Lineage: Eukaryota; Metazoa; Cnidaria; Anthozoa; Actiniaria; Phymanthidae.